AAGGCUUUAUCUUAAUUAAAGAAUUUGAGUUGCAUUCAGAAGAUGUGAGUAAAUGUCUCGCAGGUCUUA
This 69-nucleotide transfer RNA is filed under the name Craugastor rhodopis (polymorphic robber frog). RNAcentral describes it as "tRNA-Ala". Lineage: Eukaryota; Metazoa; Chordata; Amphibia; Anura; Craugastoridae. The record is from RNAcentral.